GAUGAAGAACGCAGCGAAAUGCGAUAAGUAAUGUGAAUUGCAGAAUUCAGUGAAUCAUCGAAUCUUUGAACGCACAUUGCGCCCGUCAGUAUUCUGGCGGGCAUGCCUGUUCGAGCGUCAUUACGCCCCUCAAGUCCCCUGUGGACUUGGUGUUGGGGAUCGGCGAGGCUGGUUUUCCAGCACAGCCGUCCCUUAAAUUAAUUGGCGGUCUCGCCGUGGCCCUCCUCUGCGCAGUAGUAAAACACUCGCAACAGGAGCCCGGCGCGGUCCACUGCCGUAAAACCCCCCAACUUUUUAUAGUUGACCUCGAAUCAGGUAGGACUACCCGCUGAACUUAAGCAUAUCAAUAAGUGGAGGA
Molecule: unclassified non-coding RNA, 358 nt
Filed under: soil metagenome
Description: partial contains 5.8S ribosomal RNA, internal transcribed spacer 2, and large subunit ribosomal RNA
Rfam family: 5.8S ribosomal RNA (bases 1-120)
Source: RNAcentral